Astatotilapia calliptera (eastern happy) is the source of this 2172-nucleotide long non-coding RNA. NCBI's taxonomy places the organism in Eukaryota, Metazoa, Chordata, Actinopteri, Cichliformes, Cichlidae. The record is from Ensembl.
CUUUGACAUAUGACUCAUUCAGAGCAGCUCAAAUGCCAUUGCUGAGUAUGCCACAAAUUAUUCAAGGAAAAAAAAAUCAUAGCAAAUACCAAUUUACUUUUGCUGUUAUUAGUACAACUGUUGAACUGAUUGGAGGAAGAUAGGGUGGUGUAUAAGUGGAGGACGGUGCACACAAGUGGACUACAUCUUAUGUAGUAGGCGCAAUCUGAAAGAGGUAGGAGACUGCACGGUGGUCGCACAGGAGAAUUUAACUAGGCAGCAAAGAUGGUAGUCUGUAGGAUCACUUCAAUCAUCAAGAGGAAGCGAGGGCAGAGGCUCAGGAAGGAAUUGAGACGUGCUCUGGGUGGAAGGGAAGAAUUACAAGCUGACUGGGAACAUACAGCUGUAGUGCUGAGGGAAGCUGCCAAGCUGUUUGGUGCAUCCUCUGGACAGAGGAAGUAUUGGAAGGUUAGGCUUAUGGCAAAGAGAGAAAAUCUAUCUGCUUGGCCAAUCUAUCAAUUGGCCAGGCAGAGAGAGACUGAGAUGGAAAAGAUGUGCAGUGGGUUAGGAUGAUUAAACACAGAAAUGGAAAUGUGCUAGUGAUUGAAGAGUCUGCUGACAAGACAGAAGACAGAAGAAAUACUCCAAGGAACCGAUGAAUGAAGAAAUCGAGAGUGAGAGGAGGAUAGAUGGUGGAGAGUUUUUGAAUCAGGUAGUGCAGAGGAUUAGUAAGGAAUAAGUGAAGGCAGCUAUGAAGAUGAUGAAGAGUGGAAAGACAGCUGGUCCAGAUGACAUAGCUGUGAUGGUGUGUGAAUUACCGGGAAACUGGUGGAAAUGGUAACAUGUAAGGAGUAGAGAUGAGUUUAAAUACCUGGGGUCAACCAUACAAAGCAACGGACACGGCAAAAGAGAGGUGAGGCAGGGUAGUCUUGGUGGAAAUGAGUGUCAGGGGUGAUAUGCGAUAGAAGGGUAGCAGCAAGAGUGGAAGAGAAGGCUUACAAGGCGCCAGUGAGACCUUACUCCACCACAAUAAGAGGCUGAGGUGGAAGAGGUCGCAGAAUUUUAGAUGUUAAGAUUUAAAUUCAGAUUGACCAGAAAGGACAAGAAAGAGAAAUGAGUACAUCAGAAAGAUAUCUCUGAGUGAGCGGUUUGGAGAGAAAAGGUUGAGAUGGUUUAGGAUGUAUGCAGAGGAGGUUUGUGGAUGUAGUGCAGGGGGUUGGUGUGACAGAAGAGGAUACCAGAGACAGGGAGAGGUGGAUGCAGAUGAUCUGCUGUGGUGACCCCUAAAGGGAUCAGCCAAAACAACUAUCAAUACAUGUGUUGUAAACAUAUACUUGCUUGUGCAAAAACUAGUUGAGAAAUCUGUACUGGAAACUUUAACCCUGAGAAAAUCUCACAAAAACUAAAGAUCCUUUGGUGCUCACAUGUUCUUAACUGCUCCAGUCACGCAGGUAUUCAACCAAUGAGGAUCAAAAGUCAAACUAAUAUUACUGCAGAUAUUAUGUGAUGAUUGAACUGGAUAAACAGAAGAGAACGGUUCGAUGGAUGAGUGUUUUAAUACACCUCAGCAGGAAAAAGGAAAAAGACUCCUGAGGCUGACAGAAAAUGAAAGGACAUCUAUCACUUGAGAUGACUGUGAGUGCAAUAUCAUACCACUAAAAUACUCAGGAAACUCUUCCAAAGGUUAAAUCUGCAUACUUUCAUUCAUUGCAUGCCUCUGUGUAGGGAUGGGUACCGGUGUCAUGGCACCGGUUCUGACAUAAACGGUAGUAACCAGACCGAAAAGCAGCGCACAUUUCGGUGCUUUAUUUCGGUGCUUUUAUUCCUGAGCUGUGAUACACUUCUAGCCAAUCAUUUUACGUUUCCGAGGAUAGUAGGCGGGUCCAGGUAGAGCUACAGAUUAAAAAUGCCCAAAGCGAAGCGGUCAAAAGUCUGGCUGUACUUCACAGCAAAAGAUGCAAACUCAGCAGCAACAAGUGCUUUAAGCUGAUACUGUGAUACUGUCAAAGGAAGUAACACCUCAAAUCCGAUGAAACACCUGGCGACACAUAGCGUUUUUUUAAAAAGCCCAGAAAUGCGUAUUUGAUAGCUUGCUGCGAGACCUCACACCGAGCACAUCUACUGCGGGUGGGUUGGCUGUUAUGCAACAUCCCCCAAAAACACGAAGAGGAGAGUCCUGGCCCCUAGCCCUGC